CCUAGCUUCGGCUGGACGUAUACUAAAAUUGGAACGAUACAGAGAAGAUUAGCAUGACCCCUGCGCUAAGAUGACAAUGCUAAUAAGAUGAACGCCUAAAUGUAU
Molecule: non-coding RNA, 105 nt
Organism: Anopheles arabiensis
Lineage: Eukaryota; Metazoa; Arthropoda; Insecta; Diptera; Culicidae
Source: Rfam